CCUACGGGAGGCAGCAGUGAGGAAUAUUGGUCAAUGGGCUUACGCCUGAACCAGCCAAGUCGCGUGAGGGAAGACUGCCCUAUGGGUUGUAAACCUCUUUUGUCAGGGAGCAACGCCGGCUACGUGUAGCCGGACUGAGAGUACCUGAAGAAAAAGCAUCGGCUAACUCCGUGCCAGCAGCCGCGGUAAUACGGAGGAUGCGAGCGUUAUCCGGAUUUAUUGGGUUUAAAGGGUGCGUAGGCGGAAUGCCAAGUCAGCGGUAAAAUCGCGGGGCUCAACCUCGCUCCGCCGUUGAAACUGGCGGUCUGGAGUGGGCGAGAAGUAUGCGGAAUGCGUGGUGUAGCGGUGAAAUGCAUAGAUAUCGCGCAGAACCCCGAUUGCGAAGGCAGCGUACCGGCUCCACACUGACGCUGAGGCACGAAAGCGUGGGUAUCGAACAGGAUUAGAUACCCCAGUAGUC
Molecule: ribosomal RNA, 460 nt
Filed under: uncultured bacterium
Lineage: Bacteria
Description: partial 16S ribosomal RNA
Rfam family: Bacterial small subunit ribosomal RNA
Source: RNAcentral